This 492-nucleotide ribosomal RNA is filed under the name uncultured bacterium. RNAcentral's name for it is "partial 16S ribosomal RNA". It matches the Rfam family "Bacterial small subunit ribosomal RNA", at positions 29 to 507 of the family's 1533-position model. The record is from RNAcentral.
AGUGAACGCUGGCGGUAGGCCUAACACAUGCAAGUCGAACGGCAGCACAGUAAGAGCUUGCUCUUACGGGUGGCGAGUGGCGGACGGGUGAGGAAUACAUCGGAAUCUACUUUUUCGUGGGGGAUAACGUAGGGAAACUUGCGCUAAUACCGCAUACGACCUACGGGUGAAAGCAGGGGAUCUUCGGACCUUGCGCGAUUGAAUGAGCCGAUGUCGGAUUGGCUAGUUGGCGGGGUAAAGGCCCACCAAGGCGACGAUCCGUAGCUGGUCUGAGAGGAUGAUCAGCCACACUGGAACUGAGACACGGUCCAGACUCCUACGGGAGGCAGCAGUGGGGAAUAUUGGACAAUGGGCGCAAGCCUGAUCCAGCCAUACCGCGUGGGUGAAGAAGGCCUUCGGGUUGUAAAGCCCUUUUGUUGGGAAAGAAAAGCAGCAGGUUAAUACCCCGCUGUUCUGACGGUACCCAAAGAAUAAGCACCGGCUAACUUCGUG